GACGAACGCUGGCGGCGUGCCUAAUACAUGCAAGUAGAACGCUGAAGGAGGAGCUUGCUCUUCUGGAUGAGUUGCGAACGGGUGAGUAACGCGUAGGUAACCUGCCUGGUAGCGGGGGAUAACUAUUGGAAACGAUAGCUAAUACCGCAUAACAUUUACUAUUGCAUGAUAGUCAAUUAAAAGGUUCAAAUGCACCACUACCAGAUGGACCUGCGUUGUAUUAGCUAGUUGGUGGGGUAACGGCUCACCAAGGCGACGAUACAUAGCCGACCUGAGAGGGGGAUCGGCCACACUGGGACUGAGACAAGGCCCAGACUCCUAAGGGAGGCAGCAGUAGGGAAUCUUCGGCAAUGGACGGAAGUCUGACCGAGCAAAGCCGCGUGAGUGAAGAAGGUUUUCGGAUCGUAAAGCUCGGUUGUAAGAGAAGAACGAGUGUGAGAGUGGAAAGUUCACACUGUGACGGUAUCUUACCAGAAAGGGACGGCUAACUACGUG
RNAcentral lists this ribosomal RNA (495 nucleotides) under uncultured bacterium. RNAcentral describes it as "partial 16S ribosomal RNA". It matches the Rfam family "Bacterial small subunit ribosomal RNA", at positions 28 to 507 of the family's 1533-position model. The record is from RNAcentral.